GGGGGUGACAGGCUUCGACAGGUCAUUGAAAGCAUUAAAAAUCGGGUGGAAGACGUGGAGUAACUUCCUAAAAUAAUCUUCACAAAAAUAAGUGCAAACUUAUUGUCACGAGCAAAAGCAGUUUUUGCGUCAAUUUUUGACACAACCGACUCAUUUGCUCCAGCUUUUGCCUAACGGUAAAAGCGACUUGUUGCGAUAGUAAUAUCGCAACCAUCGUCAUAACUGGCGCUUGACCGGUUAUCAAACGGUGUCAUAUACUCAAGCUUAAUCGAUUGAUUUUUUCGGGAUUAGUCGAUGACAAAUUUUCCGAAAGGGAUUAUGAGUGUUUUGCCUAAUUCAUAAUUCAUAAUUCCCUGCCCCGAGUUAAAUCGAGGGGUUAAACAAUAAUUCGGCUAUCGCCCGUACAAAUUUUUGAUGUAAUAUGCAUCUGGACAUGGGUUCGAUUCCCAUCACUUCCAUCG
Molecule: transfer-messenger RNA, 461 nt
Filed under: Candidatus Sungbacteria bacterium RIFCSPHIGHO2_02_FULL_41_12b
Lineage: Bacteria; Candidatus Sungiibacteriota
Also listed under: 2 other names
Rfam family: transfer-messenger RNA
About the family: Bacterial tmRNA, also known as 10Sa RNA or SsrA, is named for its dual tRNA and mRNA-like properties. Its role is to liberate the mRNA from a stalled ribosome.
Source: RNAcentral